Gossypium hirsutum (cotton) is the source of this 145-nucleotide non-coding RNA. NCBI's taxonomy places the organism in Eukaryota, Viridiplantae, Streptophyta, Magnoliopsida, Malvales, Malvaceae. The record is from Rfam.
UGUUAGAGAUUUCAUUCAUUUAUAUUGUUAAAAACUAGCUUGAUUGAUGGAAUAACCAGAUAGUGACACGUGACAUGCCAUGCGUACCUCAUUUUGAUGUAUAGAGACAAGUUUUAAAAAACAGGAAUUGAUGAAAUUUUUAACA